UCUAAAAUGGCAGACCAUUGCACUGGAUUUAAGCUCCUGAUAGGAAAUUUAUAAUUUCUUUUAGAA
RNAcentral lists this transfer RNA (66 nucleotides) under Heterocarpus sibogae. RNAcentral describes it as "tRNA-Leu". The record is from RNAcentral. Lineage: Eukaryota; Metazoa; Arthropoda; Malacostraca; Decapoda; Pandalidae.